This 22-nucleotide unclassified non-coding RNA is filed under the name Mus musculus (house mouse). Its description in RNAcentral is "oocyte_clustered_small_RNA10114". The record is from RNAcentral. Lineage: Eukaryota; Metazoa; Chordata; Mammalia; Rodentia; Muridae.
AUCUUCUGGGUAUAUGCCCUGA